This 219-nucleotide long non-coding RNA is filed under the name Elaeis guineensis (African oil palm). Its description in RNAcentral is "long non-coding RNA (EGUI_LNC032162)". Lineage: Eukaryota; Viridiplantae; Streptophyta; Magnoliopsida; Arecales; Arecaceae. The record is from RNAcentral.
CAUGCACCUGGAGAUUUGAUAUAGAAGCCUCGAUGCCCUUAACCCACCUAAAAAUGUCACUCACCUCCACUCUGUUCCACCUUAACAACUGCCUCCUCAUUAAGUCAAGUCUGUGGGACAUCUGAUAUCUAGCAUCAUCCCGAACUGAUAUCCUCCAAAUGCCCCUCACAAUGUCCUAGGAUCGAGGAUGGAAAAGUCAAAGUUUCUAAAAUCAGAAAG